This 1195-nucleotide long non-coding RNA is filed under the name Felis catus (domestic cat). RNAcentral's name for it is "lncRNA (ENSFCAG00000050006.1)". The record is from RNAcentral. Lineage: Eukaryota; Metazoa; Chordata; Mammalia; Carnivora; Felidae.
UCCACGCCUCCCUCCGUCUGGACGUAUCCAUGGCGAGCGGGGCGAGCGGGUUGCGUAGGCCGAGCCUUGUCCCCAGUGACCACUGGGGAGCCGUGUGGCCGCACCUGCCUCUCGGCGCUUGGUGGGAAGAACAGAGCCAGUCCCAUACAAGGAGGACGUGUUGACCGAGGGGACAAAGGUGGAAUCGUUCCCCCAGGCCGGCUCGUGGUGUUAUCAGCUGGAGAACGCCGUCUCGCUUGAACAGAGCCCGCCACGGCCUCACAUAAUGAAGUGCAAACAGGAUUUUGAAAAAAGGGUGCACAGCCCACAAUUUUGUAAGGAGCUCUGGUUGGACUUCCUGCCUACACUGAGUUUAAUCGGUGGGCCGUCCACGUCAGGCAUUUUCACGCAAUGUCUACCCUUCGGCAAGGUUCCCACAGGGCACAGAAAGUGGAAAGAACCUCUUCCCAUCUGCUGGGUGGCCACACAUUAGGCACGGUGCUAACACCCAGCGAGAACCCGCAUUUCACGUUCUUCUGCAGUGCUUUCUACGGUCAAAGCCUUCUCCUGCCUCCGAGAUCUUCUUGUCAUGUUCUGAGUCCUCCCUGAAGAAUGUGAAGUCGUAGGACGCCUGUCUGCUGGCUUUCAUUGGUGCUUGAUGCAUAGAAACUGUUUCUCUACCCGUCAGGUGUGUGUGGGGUCCCAGACCACCCCGGCGAGACCCGCGGUAAUGAGGACUGGUUUCUGCUCUGCCUUCGACAGGUGUUUACUGAAGUCCCAGGAGGCACCGGGCUACAUCCACAGCCGGAAACAAAACCAACUGGCCACCGCCCUCACUUUGGACUCGCGACAACCAGGCGGUGCUUGAAGGGACAGUGAUGACUGGAUCUCACUUCAGUGACCACACGGGACCCAGGUAAGGACAUUGACCCAAGACACCAACAAGAUGCAAAGUCUACGCAUCGGUGAAGAGACUAGAACUGUCUCUCUGUUGCUGCACCACACGGUAUAGGGUGCGUCCUGUGUCACAUGGACACUGCUGAGCAGGCGUCACCCAGAAAAGCAGGUGGACAGGGGCUCUGGGCAAAUUAAAUACUCACGGAGGAUUUCAGCGGAGGAGGGAGAAGGGAAAGAACUUGUGACUGGAGUAAGGUGAAGGAAGGCUGGGGCACAAAGGACACGGGAAAGAGGUGCGGGCACAGCCCAGGGGCUCUGG